This 464-nucleotide ribosomal RNA is filed under the name uncultured bacterium. Its description in RNAcentral is "partial 16S ribosomal RNA". It matches the Rfam family "Bacterial small subunit ribosomal RNA", at positions 28 to 507 of the family's 1533-position model. The record is from RNAcentral.
GACGAACGCUGGCGGCGUGCCUAACACAUGCAAGUCGAGCGAAUGAAGUUCCUUCGGGAAUGGAUUUAGCGGCGGACGGGUGAGUAACACGUGGGCAACCUGCCUCAUAGAGGGGAAUAGCCUUCCGAAAGGGAGAUUAAUACCGCAUAAGAUUGUAGUAUCGCAUGAUACAGCAUUUAAAGAAGCAAUCCGCUAUGAGAUGGGCCCGCGGCGCAUUAGCUAGGUGGUGAGGUAACGCCUCACCAAGGCGACGAUGCGUAGCCGACCUGAGAGGGUGAUCGGCCACAUUGGGACUGAGACACGGCCCAGACUCCUACGGGAGGCAGCAGUGGGGAAUAUUGCACAAUGGGGGAAACCCUGAUGCAGCAACGCCGCGUGAGUGAUGACGGCCUUCGGGUUGUAAAGCUCUGUCUUCAGGGACGAUAAUGACGGUACCUGAGGAGGAAGCCACGGCUAACUACGUG